This 5012-nucleotide long non-coding RNA is filed under the name Homo sapiens (human). RNAcentral describes it as "non-protein coding lnc-EDEM3-7:3". Lineage: Eukaryota; Metazoa; Chordata; Mammalia; Primates; Hominidae. The record is from RNAcentral.
AGGUCUCCUAAGCUUGACUCCUCUUCGGCAUGAGACUAAGGAAGCUCCCCAAGUUCCAGUCAGAGCAGGCUUAUGGAAGAGUCUUGCCCUAACAGAAAAACAGGGAUGAGGCUGGGAAGAGGAUAAAGUUAUAGCAGGAUAAAGUUAUAAGAAGAUAACAAAGCAGGAUGACAUCACAUGGGACCAAGAAGGGGGCUGCAUCAUCCCUGGACCUGCUCCUGGGGGCUGUCGGAUUGUGGGCGUGGCCGCUUUGGAUGCCCAGGUGAGCCCUGACACAGAGGUGCUUCCUCACAUUACAGUGAGGAGAGGAUGGGGCCAGUACAAAGACUGAAGAACCAGCACUCCUCCUGGGUCCGUCUUUGCUAAGUUGAGUCAUCCCAGCCCAGGCUCAGAUGAUGGGCACUGUGGACGGAGAGAGACCUGUCUUCCAGCAGGCUUCUGUGUGCGUGGCUGCUGCAGUUUCUGAGGGCUGACCCAGUUUUCUCAUCUCUGGACUUUAUACCUUCUUUGUCCCUAAAUAGACCACAACACCACUCUGUGUUCUCUGCAAGCCUGGGGCUAGGAAGCAUCGCUGAGGUAAAGGCCUUUUUUAAGGUUCUCUGCCAAUAACAAACACGUCUUCAAUUAUGAGAGCAGUACUCCAUGAUCCUGAAUCUCUGCCAACCAAAAGAAAGCUGUGCACACACUGCUGAACUUUUACAACUCUACAACUCAGAGGACAUAAGGCAUGUGUAAGCCAGCUGUAAAUCUCGUUGACAGUCUUGCCCCACCCACUGGCCACUAGGCAGCUGGAUUUCCAAUUUCACCCCGGACACGGCCAGCCUAUCAACCCUCUCUGCUUAAUGCUCUCAGUUCAUUUCUCAUCAUUUUUCUACCUCCACUCACCAGGCCACUUACCCUCCCUUCCUCCUUCCAGCUUCCUGAGCCCUACAGAGAUAACAACUAGCAGAGUGCACCAGCACGUACAUUGGAUUAUCCUUUUCAUUGUGUCUGAGCCAAUCUGCUUAAUGUUCAGAUACACGUGGGGAAAAAAAGGCAAAAUAUUUUUGUUUUAGAUCCUUUCAGAAGGCACAAAAAAAUAAAGUACAAACACGAAUCACUUGACAAUUUUAUGAUUAAAACCAACAAAUGGAAAACAGACAGUGUUGGGUGUUGCUGACAUAAUCAAGCAUUUCGUGCGGACCCACUCAACCACCCCAUUUCUUGGAUCUAUUUCUGGAUGUACCAAAUGUGUCUGAAGAUGAACUCACUUUCGCACAUCAAAGAUGUAUCCAGUGUUAAACACCGGAGCCAGAACCCAGGUGAAAAUCUGCUGGUUCAGGGCAACACCACUUCCGGCUUUAUUAAACACUCAAAAGUCAGGUUCCCAAGAAACGCUUGGAUCUAUGCGCAAGUAUAACAUGUCAAAACUGUUAAAUGUGACCAUGAGAAAAAUGACAUGAGCAUGUUUCAUCUUUGGGUAGAGGGUGGUGGUUUUCUGGGAAGACACUGUCUGAGACACCGAGUAGAGAAGUCAAAUGGAAGACGUUUAGCAUGUGCUUAAUUCUUGCUUGAUAAGAACAAGAAAUCCCGGAAAAGGUCACCCACAGAACGGUAAGCAAAGUCCCCAGUGAACAAGUUUGAGGUGGGGCUUAGCAGUUUGUUUACAGUUGUGGAAAACUGUUUUAGUCACUUGGCCAAAAACCAUAUGAGGGGAGGCAACCUGAAACCCUAGACUACUUGACUCUCCCUGCAUUUUUCUGCUAGAAGCAGGAUAAAAGGCCUAAAAUUUUGGCUGCAUCUCUAUUUAUGUAACAGCCACAGCUGCUCCCCAAAAUAGCUGCUGUUGGCCAAAAGAAUUACGGGAUUUUGUUGCUAAUAUGUGAAUCUAUAGUCAAUAGCACUCUGCUAAGUUUCCUUCCCUUCCCUUUUGCCGUCCCAGGUCUAAAAGGAGAUAGGGAAUCUCAUUAUUUGCACAUCAAUGGUGCCAUCAGUUGGAUGUGGAUAGAUUUUAAAAUCGAGGCUCAUCUUUUCGGCAAGAGCAAAUUGACAUAGAACAUCUUAACUCUCCACCUUCUGCAGGCGGCAGUGUGGCUAAUAUUGAGGCCCUUCAAAGUCACAACUCCAAAAGAGAGGAACAUACAGUGCUCCUGUGAUUUUGUGGGACAAACCCAGACCCGGACUGCUGGCGUGGCAUUUAAUAGGAUGCCCUCCCCUGAAAGUAACAAAGAGAACCCUCGUCAAAGCUAUCAAACACAUUAAAAAAAUACAAAAGUUAUUUUCUCCUUUUGAUUGCUAUUUACUUGUGACAAUAUUUGUUAAAAAUAUCACUUCUGUCUUUGAGAAGAGAUCAUUCUCUUCAUAUAGUAUGGAAAAAUAAACUCUGCUGAACACUCAGUCAACAUUCCCCACCACUGCCAGGGGCUUUUGGCUUUCACAUCUCCAAAUACCAUCAUCAGCAUAAAAGUAUUAUGUUUUUGAGUAGGCAAACACUUUUGCUAUGUCUAGUGUGCUGGAAGUAAGAGAAAAAGGAAGUGGCAAGGCUCAUGUAGCAUUUUGAAGGGGGAGAGUUACAAAAUAGGAUGGUUUAUUUGCUAACAAAAUGAAAGGUAACAAGGUGGUUUCAGGCCUUCCUAAAAAGUCAUAGGAUGUCCCCUCACCUCUUAGACCACUUUCAGCCUUGCUAAUGCUUGGUAGAUUCUUAAUGGAAGGGUAGGGAGCCCUAUAGGCUAAUUAUCAGUGUCAAUGCAAAGGAGGGCUCAACUUCUGCACCCAGGAUCAUCUUAAAACACUGAGCUGGAUGAAUGGGAGAAGACAAGGAUCCAUAAAAACAGUAAAAUGUUUAUUUUCUUAGAAAAAAAAGUGAGGAAGAGGGAUUCAAAAUGAUUGUGAUCACACUUCCAUCUGCAUCUGAGCAAAGCCAAUGUUGCAAGCUUAAUUCUUGAUUAAGAUACCUAUUAAAUCAAACAACCUGCCACUCACUCCUACGUCACUUCCAGGAGUCACAUCACAGCAUGCUUUUAAUUGAUAAUAGCUUCUCUACUUCUUCUGAGCAGAGAAACAAGGCUUGGCAUAGCAACCAUCCCAUCUCCAAAGCUCAACACUGCCAGUGAGAAGCAAGGCUCAGUCCAUCUCUAGACUGCGUGCGAGAGAUGGGGAGGAAGGAGAGAGGGCAGGAGAUGCUUGUCUUAGAAGCAGAACCAGUUUAGAAGAGAAGUUUGUUAUCUGAGUUCACCACUACCUCAUCUUAUAGAAAAUAGGUUGGAGAGCAUCUGUAAAACCAACAGUAUCUUUAAGGUGAAAUUGCAGAAUUUUGCUGCAUACCUGGACACAAGAGAAGUGAAAAGUUGCAACAAGUUUUAACUAGCAGCAACAAAGAAAGUUCGAUAACAGUUUUUUUUGUUUGUUUUUAGCAAUAUUCCUUUGCAAGUUCAUUAAGAAACACUGUAAUUUAAUGGGGCGUACAAUAUGGAACGAUCUUCUUUUGCUAUAGUGCUGUUCGCUGAAUAGAACCGACCUUUGCAAAGAUUUCAACUGGGGUGUAACCUAUUUACACAGUAGUAGCUCCUGGUUUGAGUGGUAAAAUUGGUGCUAUGUGAUAUCCUCUUCUUCCGAACAGUAAUCCCGACCCUUGGAGGGAAAAAGAAAAAAGAGCAUGUGAAUGAGAAAUUCAAAGCAGAGCCUGAAAUAGUUACUUGUAAUCAAUUUUCUCUCAAUAUAUGUCUCCUUGCAACAGAAUCCAGGCUUUGUCAGUGAUAGCUGGCACAGGGGUAGCUACGUCAUAAAUACAUGUUAGCCAAUUUAUAAGCUAUAUAUACUUCAAGGCAUGACAGUUUUACCAAGCCCCAAAUAAGCCCUUACUUUAUGUUGGUAAGAAUUUAUAUUAUAACAGCCAUAUUCAAGAGUCAGCCUUUCACUAAGAAAUUACCAAAUGGCCAAUCCAUUCAGGAGAUCAAUUUCUUAUCAGGAAGAAUGAACAAGCCACAUUCUACAGCUACAUCCCCGUGCCUGAAAAUCAACAUUCUACAGACAGCAUACAAUCCAGGGAUGUCUGAGUUUAAUUCACUCUAAAACGGAUUACAAAAAACAACAAACAAGAAUCCUUAAACACGCAUAACAGGUCUGUGCUUGGUAUGUGUGGGAUGCACAAGAAAGGCAAAGAUGCUUCUGAUUCAUUUGCUAACUAAAACAGGUUAUCUGAAGCUCUAAGGACUAUGUACAAUGGUUAUUUGUGAACAUAUUUUAUCCUCUCUCCUCUAGGUCAUAAACUCAAUGAAGACAUGAUUGGGGCUGGGCUUUAAGGAUCCACAUUUAACCGAGCUGGCUUGUCUUGGUCAAAACACAUGACUCUCUUGGUCUGUAACCCAUCACAGGGCACCUGCCCUGCCUGUGUCCGAUGUCAUAGAUAAGGGUUUUGUAAAAAGUCAGGUGUUAUUAUUAUUUGUUUCCUUCAACUUUUUCUUUUUCUUUUAAAAUACACACUACAUGUUUCAUUUUUCUUGGGGGGGGGGAAUGUUCUUUUAAAAGCAGAACUUAUUUCUAAAAGUACCAAUACUUAACGAUACUAAUAAUAAUUUUGCAUAUAACUAUUUCUCAGAUGUAUUACAUGUUUUUUGGUCACAUUAUCUAUAUAACAGAAAUAUUUUACAUUUUCCUAAUAUUUAAGCAUUAUCAAAAUGGAUUAUUUUGUGCCACGUGGCUGGGUGCUAAUCUUGACUCUGUGACUUCCUAGCUCUGGGAUCCUGGUAAAAUUACCUCUCUGUGUCUCAGUUUCUUCAUCUGUAAAAUGAAGAGAACAAUAGUACCUAUUUCACAGAAUAGUUGAAGAUUAAAUGAGUUAAUAGUAAUAAAGUGAUUAAAUCAUUUCUGGCACAUACUUUUACACAUGAUGUAUAUGUGCCCAUGCCCGUGUGUGUUUGGCAAAUUACAAAAUACUGCUGGCUGGACACGGUGGCUCACGCCUGUAAUCCCGCACUUUGGGAGGCCGAGGCAGGUGGAUCACCUGAGGUCAGGAAUUUGAGGCCAGCCUGACC